AUGUGGCUUAGUUAUGGGGCACACAUCAAUCGAAACCAAAUUAGUUUGGUUCCUUUUGAAGACUCAAGAGAGAGGCCUCUUGAAGGUGGACUAUUCUAUUCUCAUAUAAGUUGUCCCCCAAGCAGCCUUUGACAUUA
Small nucleolar RNA from Lupinus angustifolius (narrow-leaved blue lupine), 137 nucleotides. It matches the Rfam family "Small nucleolar RNA U19". The record is from Rfam. NCBI's taxonomy places the organism in Eukaryota, Viridiplantae, Streptophyta, Magnoliopsida, Fabales, Fabaceae.